CAUAUAUCUCCUUCGUCCGAAAAUACUUGUCGAAAAAAUGGUUGUAUCUAGAUAUAAUUUAGUUCUAGAGACAUUCAUUUCUAUCCAUUUUGUAAUUAGUAAUUUCGGACGGAGGAAGUAUUAG
This 124-nucleotide microRNA precursor is filed under the name Hordeum vulgare. Its description in RNAcentral is "microRNA MIR1122". It matches the Rfam family "MIR1120/MIR1122 microRNA precursor family". Lineage: Eukaryota; Viridiplantae; Streptophyta; Magnoliopsida; Poales; Poaceae. The record is from RNAcentral.